Molecule: ribosomal RNA, 587 nt
Filed under: bacterium
Lineage: Bacteria
Description: bacterial SSU rRNA
Rfam family: Bacterial small subunit ribosomal RNA
Source: RNAcentral
CGCAGCUAACGCAUUAAGCGCCCCGCCUGGGGAGUACGGCCGCAAGGCUAAAACUCAAAGGAAUUGACGGGGGCCCGCACAAGCGGCGGAGCAUGCGGAUUAAUUCGAUGCAACGCGAAGAACCUUACCAAGGCUUGACAUACACGAGAACGGGCCAGAAAUGGUCAACUCUUUGGACACUCGUGAACAGGUGGUGCAUGGUUGUCGUCAGCUCGUGUCGUGAGAUGUUGGGUUAAGUCCCGCAACGAGCGCAACCCUCGUUCUAUGUUGCCAGCACGUGAUGGUGGGAACUCAUAGGAGACUGCCGGGGUCAACUCGGAGGAAGGUGGGGAUGACGUCAAAUCAUCAUGCCCCUUAUGUCUUGGGCUUCACGCAUGCUACAAUGGCCGGUACAAAGGGCUGCGAUACCGUAAGGUGGAGCGAAUCCCAAAAAGCCGGUCUCAGUUCGGAUUGAGGUCUGCAACUCGACCUCAUGAAGUCGGAGUCGCUAGUAAUCGCAGAUCAGCAACGCUGCGGUGAAUACGUUCCCGGGCCUUGUACACACCGCCCGUCAAGUCAUGAAAGUCGGUAACACCCGAAGCCGGUGG